Rana temporaria (common frog) is the source of this 645-nucleotide long non-coding RNA. RefSeq lists it as uncharacterized. Lineage: Eukaryota; Metazoa; Chordata; Amphibia; Anura; Ranidae. The transcript has 3 exons. The record is from RefSeq and is a predicted model, not a curated record.
ACGGGCCCGGCGGGCGGGGGAAGUGUUUGGCCGGGUGGCCGCGUCUGUUGGCGGUUUCCGGUGAUCUCUGUGUCCGCCCGGUACCGGCUGGAGGAGAGGAAGGGCCCCGGCCCGGAGCAGGUUGUACUCCGGUGGUGACACAACACAAUACUCUGCUGUGUGCCGGGGGGAGAAGUUUUCCAUUGGAAGGUGUUCAGUGCCGGGCACGUGACUGCACGCUGAGCAAACAAUCUGCUGCAGGUGGAGUCGUUGGAUACGAAGCCGGAUUUGUAGUCUGUUGCUGUAAACAUCCCCGACUGGAAGCUUUGAGGCAAGUUUUGAGCUUUCAGUCUGAUGUUUGCUGCUACCGGCUGUAAAAGUCGAACAUCUUCAGAGACCUUUCUUUGCUGGUCCUACCUGAGGGACUUUGGAUGUAGACCUGAAGAGCACAACCUGCUGGAUUGGAGACGACAUUACAUUGUAUGCUUCUUUGGGGAAGGAUUACAUUGCCUCUGUUCUUGUGAUACAACAGUGUGUGUGUGUGUGUGUGUGUUUUUUGUGUUUCCCAGCACUUCUUCCUAGGACAGGACCAGACUGCACUGCAUAGAGGAAGCAUUGUUUUCUGUAUUAACUAGGGUUGUCCCGAUGCGCCAGCUGCGCCGCGUA